GCUGGGCAUGGUGGUGCAUGCCUGUAAUUCCAGCUACUUGGGAGGCUGAGGCAGGAGAAUUGCUUGAACCCGGGAAGCAGAGGUUGCAGUGAGCUGAGAUCGUGCCACUGCACUCCAGCCUGGGUGACAGAGCGAGACUCUGUCUAAA
RNAcentral lists this non-coding RNA (148 nucleotides) under Pongo abelii (Sumatran orangutan). Lineage: Eukaryota; Metazoa; Chordata; Mammalia; Primates; Hominidae. The record is from Rfam by way of RNAcentral.